RNAcentral lists this transfer RNA (85 nucleotides) under Nitrospirota bacterium. RNAcentral describes it as "Nitrospirae bacterium tRNA-Leu". It matches the Rfam family "tRNA". Rfam says of the family: Transfer RNA (tRNA) molecules are approximately 80 nucleotides in length. Their secondary structure includes four short double-helical elements and three loops (D, anti-codon, and T loops). The record is from RNAcentral. Lineage: Bacteria; Pseudomonadati; Nitrospirota. RNAcentral also lists the same sequence under 1 other name.
GCGAGAGUGGCGGAACUGGCAGACGCGCGAGACUUAGGAUCUCGUGGGCACAACCGUGGGGGUUCGAGUCCCCCCUCUCGCACCA